Molecule: ribosomal RNA, 433 nt
Filed under: uncultured bacterium
Lineage: Bacteria
Description: partial 16S ribosomal RNA
Rfam family: Bacterial small subunit ribosomal RNA
Source: RNAcentral
AACGAACGCUGGCGGCAUGCCUAACACAUGCAAGUCGAACGAGACCUUCGGGUCUAGUGGCGCACGGGUGCGUAACGCGUGGGAACCUGCCCUUAGGUUCGGAAUAACUCCCCGAAAGGGGUGCUAAUACCGGAUAAUGUCUUCGGACCAAAGAUUUAUCGCCUUUGGAUGGGCCCGCGUUGGAUUAGCUAGUUGGUAGGGUAAAAGCCUACCAAGGCGACGAUCCAUAGCUGGUCUGAGAGGAUGAUCAGCCACACUGGGACUGAGACACGGCCCAGACUCCUACGGGAGGCAGCAGUGGGGAAUAUUGGUCGAUGGGCGAAAGCCUGAUCCAGCAAUGCCGCGUGAGUGAUGAAGGCCUUAGGGUUGUAAAGCUCUUUUACCCGGGAUGAUAAUGACAGUACCGGGAGAAUAAGCUCCGGCUAACUACGUG